UACGGAGGGUGCGAGCGUUAAUCGGAAUUACUGGGCGUAAAGGGUGCGUAGGUGGUUUUUUAAGUUAGUUGUGAAAUUCCUGGGCUCAACCUGGGCAGGCCAACUAAGACUGGAAGACUAGAGUAUAGGAGAGGGUAGUGGAAUUUCCGGUGUAGCGGUGAAAUGCGUAGAGAUCGGAAGGAACACCGGUGGCGAAGGCGGCUACCUGGCCUAAUACUGACACUGAGGCACGAAAGCGUGGGGAGCAAACAGGAUUAGAUACCCUGGUAGUCCACGCUGUAAACGAUGUCAACUAGCCGUUGGCCCAAAUAAAGGGCAAGUGGCGCAGCAAACGCGAUAAGUUGACCGCCUGGGGAGUACGGUCGCAAGAUUAAA
Molecule: ribosomal RNA, 375 nt
Filed under: uncultured bacterium
Lineage: Bacteria
Description: bacterial SSU rRNA
Rfam family: Bacterial small subunit ribosomal RNA
Source: RNAcentral